RNAcentral lists this ribosomal RNA (1468 nucleotides) under Bacillus sonorensis. Its description in RNAcentral is "bacterial SSU rRNA". It matches the Rfam family "Bacterial small subunit ribosomal RNA". Lineage: Bacteria; Bacillati; Bacillota; Bacilli; Caryophanales; Bacillaceae. The record is from RNAcentral.
GAUUGGCGCGUCUAUAAUGCAGUCGAGCGGACAGAUGGGAGCUUGCUCCCUGAUGUAAGCGGCGGACAGGUGAGUAACACGUGGGUAACCUGCCUGUAAGACUGGGAUAACUCCGGGAAACCGGGGCUAAUACCGGAUGCUUGAUUGAACCGCAUGGUUCAAUUAUAAAAGGUGGCUUUCCACUACAUCUUCCCAAUGGACCCUCGGCGCAUUAUGGGGUUGGUGAGGUAACGGCUCACCAUGGCUACCUGGCCUGACCAACCUGAAAGGGUGAUGGGCCUGAUGGGACUGAAAACGGCCCAAACUCCUACGGGAGGCAAAUAUUGGGAAUCUUCCGCAAUGGACAAAAGUCUGACGGACCAGCGCCGCGUGAGUGAUGAAGGUUUUCGGAUCUUAAAACUCUGUUGUUAGGGAAAAACAUAAUACCGUUCGAAUAGGGCGUUACCUUGACGGUACCUAACCAGAAAGCCCCGUGCUAACUACCCGCCAUAAUACCGCGGUAAUACGUAGUUGGCAAGCGUUGUCCGGAAUUAUUGGGCGUAAAGCGGUCUGCAGGCGGUUUCUUAAAUCUGAUGUGAAUCCCCCUGGGCUCAACCGGGGAGGGUCAUUGGAAACUGGGGAACUUGAGGUGCAUAAAAUUACAGUGUGAAUUCCACGUGUGCGUAUAAAUCGCGUAGGAGAUGUGGAGGAACACCGCGGCCCAAGGCAACUCUCUGACGCUAACUGACGCUGAGGCGCGAGCAGUGGGGAAUCGAUCCGGAUUAUAUCCCCUGCUAGUCCACGCCCUAUUUGAUAGAGUGCUGACCUGUUAGCGUGUUUCCGCCCUUUAGUGCUGUAGAUCGACCAUUCAUGCGACUCCACCUGGGCAAGUACUGUCGCUCAGACUGAAACUCAAAGAAAUGGACGGGGGCCCGCCCAAGCGGUGAACCAGGUGGUUUAAUUCGAAGCAACGGGAAGACCCUUCCCAGUUCUUGCCAUCCUAGGACAACCCUAGAGAUAGGGCUUCCCCUUCGGGGGCAGAGUGCCAGGUGGUCCAUGGUGGUCGUCAGUUCGUGUCGUGAGAUGUUGGGUUAAGUCCCGCAACGAGCGCAACCCUUGAUUUUAGUUGCCAGCAUUCAGUUGGGCACUCUAAGGUGACUGCCGGUGACAAACCGGAGGAAGGUGGGGAUGACGUCAAAUCAUCAUGCCCCUUAUGACCUGGGCUACACACGUGCUACAAUGGGCAGAACAAAGGGCAGCGAAGCCGCGAGGGCAAGCCAAUCUCACAAAUUUGUUCUCAGUUCGGAUCGCAGUCUGCAACUCGACUGCGUGAAGUUGGAAUCGCUAGUAAUCGCUAGAUCAGCAUGCCGCGGUGAAUACGUUCCCGGGCCUUGUACACACCGCCCGUCACACCCCGAGAGUGUGUAACACCACGAAGUCGGUGAGGUAACCUUUGGAACCAGCCGCACGAACGUGACCAGAAACUGCA